RNAcentral lists this ribosomal RNA (488 nucleotides) under uncultured bacterium. RNAcentral describes it as "partial 16S ribosomal RNA". It matches the Rfam family "Bacterial small subunit ribosomal RNA", at positions 30 to 507 of the family's 1533-position model. The record is from RNAcentral.
AUUGAACGCUGGCGGCAUGCUUUACACAUGCAAGUCGAACGGCAGCACAGGGAGCUUGCUCCUGGGUGGCGAGUGGCGAACGGGUGAGUAAUGUAUCGGAACGUGCCUGGUAGUGGGGGAUAACUACUCGAAAGAGUGGCUAAUACCGCAUGAGAUCUUUGGAUGAAAGCGGGGGACCUUCGGGCCUCGUGCUACUGGAGCGGCCGAUAUCAGAUUAGGUUGUUGGUGGGGUAAAGGCCUACCAAGCCUGCGAUCUGUAGCUGGUCUGAGAGGACGACCAGCCACACUGGGACUGAGACACGGCCCAGAGUCCUACGGGAGGCAGCAGUGGGGAAUUUUGGACAAUGGGCGCAAGCCUGAUCCAGCAAUGCCGCGUGCAGGACGAAGGCCUUCGGGUUGUAAACUGCUUUUGUACAGAACGAAAAGUCUCUGGCUAAUAUCUAGAGAUCAUGACGGUACUGUAAGAAUAAGCACCGGCUAACUACGUG